AACGAACGCUGGCGGCAUGCCUAACACAUGCAAGUCGAACGAGACCUUCGGGUCUAGUGGCGCACGGGUGCGUAACGCGUGGGAACCUGCCCUUAGGUUCGGAAUAACUCCCCGAAAGGGGUGCUAAUACCGGAUAAUGUCUUCGGACCAAAGAUUUAUCGCCUUUGGAUGGGCCCGCGUUGGAUUAGCUAGUUGGUAGGGUAAAAGCCUACCAAGGCGACGAUCCAUAGCUGGUCUGAGAGGAUGAUCAGCCACACUGGGACUGAGACACGGCCCAGACUCCUACGGGAGGCAGCAGUGGGGAAUAUUGGACAAUGGGCGAAAGCCUAAUCCAGCAAUGCCGCGUGAGUGAUGAAGGCCUUAGGGUUGUAAAGCUCUUUUACCCGGGAUGAUAAUGACAGUACCGGGAGAAUAAGCUCCGGCUAACUCCGU
RNAcentral lists this ribosomal RNA (432 nucleotides) under uncultured bacterium. RNAcentral describes it as "partial 16S ribosomal RNA". It matches the Rfam family "Bacterial small subunit ribosomal RNA", at positions 29 to 506 of the family's 1533-position model. The record is from RNAcentral.